GGCGAACGCUGGCGGCGUGCUUAACACAUGCAAGUCGAACGGAAAGGCCUGCUUUCCCUUGUGGAUUGCGGGUACUCGAGUGGCGAACGGGUGAGUAACACGUGAGUGAUCUGCCCCCAACUUGGGUAUAAGCCUGGGAAACUGGGUCUAAUUCCCGAUAGGACUGCAGGGUGGUGCCGGUGGUGGAAAACGAUGUUCUAGUGGUUGGGGAUGAGCUCGCGGCCUAUCAGCUUGUUGGUGGGGUAAUGGCCUACCAAGGCGGCGACGGGUAGCCGGCCUGAGAGGGUGGACGGCCCCAUUGGAACUGAGAUACGGCCCAGACUCCUACGGGAGGCAGCAGUGGGGAAUAUUGCACAAUGGGCGGAAGCCUGAUGCAGCGACGCCGCGUGGGGGAUGACGGCCUUCGGGUUGUAAACUCCUUUCGACCGCGAGGAAGCCACCUGGUUGGAAGGGUGGUGACGGUAGUGGUAGAAGAAGCACCGGCUAACUACGUG
RNAcentral lists this ribosomal RNA (494 nucleotides) under uncultured bacterium. RNAcentral's name for it is "partial 16S ribosomal RNA". It matches the Rfam family "Bacterial small subunit ribosomal RNA", at positions 28 to 507 of the family's 1533-position model. The record is from RNAcentral.